RNAcentral lists this non-coding RNA (104 nucleotides) under Sporomusa acidovorans. The record is from RNAcentral. Lineage: Bacteria; Bacillati; Bacillota; Negativicutes; Selenomonadales; Sporomusaceae.
GAGCGCCGUAUGAGGCGAAAGUCUCACGUACGGUGCGAAACAAGGGAAAAGGGACGCCGAACGGCGCAUAAAUGCGUGCGCGGACGUCCCUUACCUAUUGUUGC